Molecule: ribosomal RNA, 324 nt
Filed under: uncultured bacterium
Lineage: Bacteria
Description: bacterial SSU rRNA
Rfam family: Bacterial small subunit ribosomal RNA
Source: RNAcentral
GAUGAACGCUGGCGGCGUGCUUAACACAUGCAAGUCGAACGGAGCUUAUUUGAUAGAGACUUCGGUCAAUUGAUUAUAAGCUUAGUGGCGGACGGGUGAGUAACGCGUGAGGAAUCUGCCUUGGAGUGGGGAAUAACACAGUGAAAAUUGUGCUAAUACCGCAUAAUGCAGUUGAGUCGCAUGGCUCUGACUGCCAAAGAUUUAUCGCUCUGAGAUGACCUCGCGUCUGAUUAGCUAGUUGGUAGGGUAACGGCCUACCAAGGCGACGAUCAGUAGCCGGACUGAGAGGUUGGCCGGCCACAUUGGGACUGAGACACGGCCCAG